Molecule: transfer RNA, 66 nt
Filed under: Oxya chinensis
Lineage: Eukaryota; Metazoa; Arthropoda; Insecta; Orthoptera; Acrididae
Description: tRNA-Asp
Source: RNAcentral
UAAGGAGUUAGUUAAAAUAUAACAUUAGAAUGUCAAUCUAAAAUAACUAUAUAAUAGUACACCUUG